UAAAUGGAUUUUUUUAAAUCCAUUAAAAAGUCUAGUAGAUUAUUU
Non-coding RNA from Lonchura striata (white-rumped munia), 45 nucleotides. The record is from Rfam. NCBI's taxonomy places the organism in Eukaryota, Metazoa, Chordata, Aves, Passeriformes, Estrildidae.